UACGGAGGGAGCUAGCGUUGUUCGGAACUACUGGGCGUAAAGGGCGCGUAGGCGGCCCUCUAAGUCAUGCGUGAAAUCCCCGGGCUCAACCCGGGAACUGCAUCCGAUACUGGAUGGCUUGAAUCCGGGAGAGGGAUGCAGAAUUCCAGGUGUAGCGGUGAAAUGCGUAGAUAUCUGGAGGAAUACCGGUGGCGAAGGCGGCAUCCUGGACCGGCAUUGACGCUGAGGAGCGAAAGCUAGGGGAGCAAACGGG
RNAcentral lists this ribosomal RNA (253 nucleotides) under uncultured bacterium. RNAcentral's name for it is "partial 16S ribosomal RNA". It matches the Rfam family "Bacterial small subunit ribosomal RNA", at positions 524 to 776 of the family's 1533-position model. The record is from RNAcentral.